UAGCUCAGAGGUUAAGAGCACUGGCUGCUCUUCCAGAGGACCUGGGUUUGAUUCCCAG
RNAcentral lists this transfer RNA (58 nucleotides) under Cricetulus griseus (Chinese hamster). The record is from Rfam by way of RNAcentral. Lineage: Eukaryota; Metazoa; Chordata; Mammalia; Rodentia; Cricetidae.